GAGGUAAAAAGAAAGUUUCAGGUACCGAUUAUGACCGUCAAACUUCAUCUGACUUCUGAGUGUCAGAAAGAGCGGUGAGAAGAUGGAUAGUGUUCGGUGAAGACUAAAGGUAAGACUAAAGUGCUGAGGGGUACCCGAUUGCAUCCGAGGAGAGCAUGUCGCUGUACACACCUCCUCCGACACAUGCACAGCCUUCUUCUUCUCGCCCCUGCAUUCUGCACAGACGUCUCUUCCACCAAUCAGGGUCCUUACACAGCGUAUGAAGACAUACCCACCCACCCACACAUAGCCUGGCACCCACUCUGCAGAUACGGUGGCCAAUUAGUAUCUGCUACAGGCACUGCCAUUUAUACCCGCCAGAUAACGCCCAGCUGACCGGUGGCAAUGCCAAGUUUUGAACCGAGGAGUUCAGAAUCUCAGUGCUGGAGUUUUAAGCCAAACCAAAUGCCUGCAAGAUCAGAACUUUAUUUUUCAUAAUAAAACCAAAAGAACCGAUGUGAAAAGAGCCGAGGUGCUGAACUUCUAUAACUUAUUUAAUAACUAUAGUCAAUUACUGCCUUGUGAUCAGUGUUUCUUGGUGAAAAUAAGACAUUUUACUUUAGAUUAUGUAACAAUAA
Molecule: long non-coding RNA, 617 nt
Organism: Trichomycterus rosablanca
Lineage: Eukaryota; Metazoa; Chordata; Actinopteri; Siluriformes; Trichomycteridae
Exons: 3
Source: RefSeq, a predicted model, not a curated record